UAGUGUCAUCUUGAGCUAGAAACGAUAUUUCUGUUGCUCAUAUCCCCACCGUUAUGUAAAAUUUUCACCGCACCCAACAACAUUAUUGGACAUAACACACCGAGCGAACGUAUAUACCCUUACGCUGCUCGAAUUGCUCGUAUCUAAUAAAGAGAAUACGUUACAUUAUUAAUCUCAAUAAUGUAACAUCGUGUGCAGCCUCGUGGAGGAUCGAUGUAUUAUCAAAUUUCUACAAGUGACUGUUCAUUCUAUUUUUUUCAUCUGCAGAAUUUAUUUUUUAAGUAACUUUCAUGUGUCGGUCAUGAUUCUGCGUCAAUCGAUAGGCAACAAUAUUAAGUUACUUUCAACUCAUAAUAAACUAAUUUGUUCCACCGUAUUGUAUUAAGAAUGCCUCGAAUUUCAUGUUUCAAUGUUUAUUAAUCGACGAUCUUACUUCGCUAUGUCAGACAGUUAAACAAUAAAGUUCUGUUUCUUUCGCGUUUCCUUUCUCUUUGGGUGUCAAAAACGUGUAUGACUUUUGUACAGGGAUUCUUUUGCGAGUGUGAUGCAUCCUAUCUCGACUUGUCCAUGACCCAUUCCCUUUUAGACGCGAGAACCUUUUUUUUGCAUUUGACCCAUUUUUCUUAAUAGCCUCUGUUCUAUAUGUGAACAGCGUUCUGCAUUCUUUAUUUCGGCAGUGCUCGUCAAUGACAACUUAGAUUGACUCAUGACGAAUCACCGUUACGUUAUCAUAAAUGGAAAUCAUGAUGUCGUUGGAAAAACUAUUUUUUCAAGAAUAAAAUAGCAUUUACGGAUAUUUUAUUUAUGGAAUCGGCGCUGAUAAUUUCUCAUACCCGAUAAAUAUAAUUUUGUUUUAUCGGUGCCCAAAAAUAAUACCGUAUCCUUUGAAUCAUUGAGAGCCACUGACUGUCACGGAAGAAGUUCAGUUUAUUUGUAUCGUUCAGAGAUGUAUCGUUGGCGUUAUAAAUAAACAAUGAUAUUUGAGGGAUUCACGUGGAAUGUAUUCAUACUUAUCAGUAUUAAUAUUAAUUUUAAAUUACAUUAGCAAAAAGUGCCGAGCGUAAAUAUUAGCGACCAAGUUUAGCUUGGCGUAUAAGUAAAAAUAUUUUAAUAUUUCAUGUACUGACACUAUUUAAAGCUGAAAUGUUACCAGGAAGACCUCCCGUUACAGAGAACCCUUUGGGACUCUCUUGGCACGAUAGUGCAUGGAUUCCUGUGUUAAAUCCAAAUAAUAUAAUGGAUUACUUUUCUGAAAGGAGUAAUCCUUUUUACGAUAGAACGUGCAACAAUGAAAUUGUUAAAAUGCAACGCUUAAGUCCUGAUCAAUUGCAGAGUAUGACAGGAUUGGAGUAUAUUCUUUUACACGUGCAAGAACCCAUUUUGUAUGUUAUUAGGAAACAACAUCGACAUUCACCUACUGCAGCAACACCGCUUGUAGAUUAUUAUAUUAUUGCAGGUGUCGUGUAUCAAGCACCUGAUUUAGCAUCUGUUGUGAGCUCUAGACUGUUAUCCACAGUGCACCAUUUACAGUCUGCUUUUGAAGAAGCUAGCUCGUGCUCCAGAUAUCAUCCAAGUAAAGGUUACUAUUGGGACUUCAAAAAUGGCAAAGCACUGGCAGCAAAGAAAGAAACACCUGUUCGCGAGGAGCCCAGCUCUCUGUUUCAACGUCAAAGAGUGGAUAUGUUACUUGCUGAACUUACUCGUAAAUUUCCAUUGCCUGUUCCAAAACCUGUUCAUCAACCUAUCGAGUCUUCCAUAGAGAUUAAGCAAGAAGUGAAAGUCGAGAAAAAAGACAUGAAACCACCACCAGAAAAGAAGCCAAAAGUUAAUUAACGAGGAUUCGCAUUAUUCUAUAAGAUAAUGUAUAUGAACUUAGGUUUAAGCAUGCAUUUAAUAUUGUCUCUGUUCUCACCACAUUACAGGGACUUAACAGUUUAAGUAAUUGUAUUUUUUUCCUGUAAAAACUGAUGUAUAUAACGAUGAAAUAUCAAGACUGGGGUAGAAUUAAAAAUCAAAUAUUUUUAUUUCAUCGUUCUUAUUUUUUCUUGCGCCACGGACAAUCGAGAUUAUCAAUUCUCUCCGUUGUAUCUUGUUUUAUUUUCUUCGCAUCGGAAAUUUUUGGUUUGCGCCGUACUUUUCUUUUAAUAUUGGAACCGGGACACUUGGAUUUCCGAUAUUGAAGACAGCCUUCGUGUUUCGUCGACCGAAAUAGAGGGGAAUAAGUUGAAAUGGUGUUCGUCGCGAUCUGCUAAAAUUAACCGUGCAUUAUUUCAUUAGAAUUAUCAAAACCAAUCUGUCACAUACUUUCACACCGUAUUCUAUAUAGGAUGGAAUACGUUGAAUGAUGCUUUUCUUAUUAAAACAUCUAACAAGCAUUUUCGUAGCAAAGGAUAUCAAGCGUCAAACCGACAUCGUUUGAUCUUUUAUUUUCCUACGGAUGAAUCGUGCACGACCAAAGGACAAUGAUAUGCGAUGGGAACACGUGUGGCGAGGAACGGUUGGACAUGGGGCUGUACGGGACGAACGACGAGGAGGAUCACUUCAUUGAAAACCUAAAACACGUGAAAUGUAAAUUGAUUCAGCUGGUACGCGAACAACUGCAAACGGCUCGUAACAGACAAGUAAAACUCAUGCGACAAGCAACGUUCAAUCAUUUCAACCCUCUGUAGGCCCAUGUAACUUUAAACUCACAUAUCAGUAUAUUGGCAUCUUGUUGAUUUAUUUCAUUUUGGUUAUCUUAAACUUUUAUACGCUCAGGCAUGAAAGUUUAACGUGAUUGUAACUUGAAAGUUACAAAAUAUGUUAUAAUAAUGAACAAAAAUUCGGCCCAUAAAGGGUAAAAAGAAUUCUUUAACAUAUUAAACCACCAACCUUUUUCCGUAGUACACGCUGACCUCGACGGCAGGAUCGGAGGGAUUAUUCCCGUUGGAACGAAAGCAUACAAAAUAUUUGUUCUUCGACGAACUAAAUGAGAACGCGGCCAAGCAGCCCGCGACGCCGCACAGCAUUCCUCAGAAAACAUCACCGUCGCCUCGUCGAGGAAAUUUUCUACAGCGUUUAACGAGAAUACGCCGACGCAUCUGUAUCAUAAUCCUGAUUGUUGCAAUCGUUGCGCUCGUAUUCGUACUGUAUUUCAUUUACUUCCGCGCGUACCUCUGCAGCAAGGGCCAGUCUUGCGUUACGUCCUUCCGUUACGCGCACGCGAAACACACGCUCUUUUAAAUGCGUAUCAAGAUCGAAUUCCAUAUAAUAACUAUUAUUCUAAUAUGUUGUUCAAUUUUGGUCGCCGUUUGACCCAUGAAAAUGGUAAAAUUUAGAAUUCAAUAUUAACCCUUUGCACUGGAGAGAGACGGACGAUCUGAUACAGCAAAAUUAUAAACCUUGGUAUUUACCAUUAGCUGUAUACUGCAUCAAUACGUGAAAUAUUGAAAGAAAAUAGAAAUAAAUAAUAAAUAAAUUCAUUUUAAAGAAUCUCCUCUACAUCUAGUUAGAAAAUUGUAUUGAACAUUUCAAGUGAGAAACUUUCGAGUGCAAAGGGUUAAACCGGAACUUCCACUAUUCUUACGGUAAAUAGGAAAUCUGUUCUUUUACAAUUAUUCGGAAGAUACAAAUGAUUCUCUCGGUAAUGAUGAGAUAGAUCGAAUGAAAUGAAAGAAAUAACCGACUUCCGUUGCUUAGUUCUACCGUUGUCGUGGAAUAAGUAAACGUUCUAAGACUUGACACAAAAUAUAUUAAACUUGGAAUAAUACACCAUG
Nomia melanderi (Alkali bee) is the source of this 3755-nucleotide non-coding RNA. The record is from RefSeq and is a predicted model, not a curated record. Lineage: Eukaryota; Metazoa; Arthropoda; Insecta; Hymenoptera; Halictidae.